This 70-nucleotide transfer RNA is filed under the name Ictidomys tridecemlineatus (thirteen-lined ground squirrel). RNAcentral describes it as "Spermophilus tridecemlineatus (thirteen-lined ground squirrel) tRNA". It matches the Rfam family "tRNA". From Rfam's summary of the family: Transfer RNA (tRNA) molecules are approximately 80 nucleotides in length. Their secondary structure includes four short double-helical elements and three loops (D, anti-codon, and T loops). The record is from Rfam by way of RNAcentral. Lineage: Eukaryota; Metazoa; Chordata; Mammalia; Rodentia; Sciuridae. RNAcentral also lists the same sequence under 1 other name.
GGGGAUAUAGCUCAGCUGGUAGAGUACUUGCCUUGUAAGCAUAAGGACCUGGGUUCAAUCCCCAACACCA